AUUGAACGCUGGCGGCAGGCUUAACACAUGCAAGUCGAGCGGGGUGAUGGUGCUUGCACUAUCACUUAGCGGCGGACGGGUGAGUAAUGCUUAGGAAUCUGCCUAUUAGUGGGGGACAACAUCUCGAAAGGGAUGCUAAUACCGCAUACGUCCUACGGGAGAAAGCAGGGGAUCACUUGUGACCUUGCGCUAAUAGAUGAGCCUAAGUCGGAUUAGCUAGUUGGUGGGGUGAAGGCCUACCAAGGCGACGAUCUGUAGCGGGUCUGAGAGGAUGAUACGCCACACUGGGACUGAGACACGGCCCAGACUCCUACGGGAGGCAGCAGUGGGGAAUAUUGGACAAUGGGGGGAACCCUGAUCCAGCCAUGCCGCGUGUGUGAAGAAGGCCUUAUGGUUGUAAAGCACUUUAAGCGAGGAGAAGGCUCUUUUGGUUAAUACCCAAGAUGAGUGGACGUUACUCGCAGAAUAAGCACCGGCUAACUCUGUGCCAGCAGCCGCCGUAA
Molecule: ribosomal RNA, 503 nt
Filed under: uncultured bacterium
Lineage: Bacteria
Description: partial 16S ribosomal RNA
Rfam family: Bacterial small subunit ribosomal RNA
Source: RNAcentral